CCGCAAGGCCUUGCGCGUUUGGAGCGGCCGAUGGCAGAUUANGUAGUUGGUGGGAUAAAAGCUUACCAAGCCGACGAUCUGUAGCUGGUCUGAGAGGACGACCAGCCACACUGGGACUGAGACACGGCCCAGACUCCUACGGGAGGCAGCAGUGGGGAAUUUUGGACAAUGGGCGAAAGCCUGAUCCAGCAAUGCCGCGUGCAGGAUGAAGGCCUUCGGGUUGUAAACUGCUUUUGUACGGAACGAAAAGGCUCUGGCUAAUACCUGGGGCACAUGACGGUACCGUAAGAAUAAGCACCGGCUAACUACGUGCCAGCAGCCGCGGUAAUACGUAGGGUGCGAGCGUUAAUCGGAAUUACUGGGCGUAAAGCGUGCGCAGGCGGUUUUGUAAGACAGAGGUGAAAUCCCCGGGCUCAACCUGGGAACUGCCUUUGUGACUGCAAAGCUGGAGUGCGGCAGAGGGGGAUGGAAUUCCGCGUGUAGCAGUGA
Molecule: ribosomal RNA, 489 nt
Filed under: Paenacidovorax caeni
Lineage: Bacteria; Pseudomonadati; Pseudomonadota; Betaproteobacteria; Burkholderiales; Comamonadaceae
Description: bacterial SSU rRNA
Rfam family: Bacterial small subunit ribosomal RNA
Source: RNAcentral